RNAcentral lists this small RNA (27 nucleotides) under Bombyx mori (domestic silkworm). Its description in RNAcentral is "ovarian small RNA-4301". The record is from RNAcentral. Lineage: Eukaryota; Metazoa; Arthropoda; Insecta; Lepidoptera; Bombycidae.
AAGGCGUAGUCUCCCGGCAGUAAUUGG